GACAAGCGACAAAAGGUCAUAAAUUUCAUGCUUGCAUGAAAAAGUAUGACUUUGGGACCCGUUAAAACAUAAGAAAGGAGCCCGAUCGGGCGGAUUUCGAAUGUUUUCAGGAUUGCGGGAGCAUGAAAUGCGAAGCAAUCCGUAGCAUC
RNAcentral lists this small RNA (149 nucleotides) under uncultured Fusicatenibacter sp. Its description in RNAcentral is "Clostridiales-1 RNA". It matches the Rfam family "Clostridiales-1 RNA". The record is from RNAcentral. Lineage: Bacteria; Bacillati; Bacillota; Clostridia; Lachnospirales; Lachnospiraceae.